GCAGGAGGAAUACAUCUGAAAGGGUGUAGCUCUACGGAGUCUUCUGCGAGGUGCUGCAUGGUUGUCGUCAGCUCGUGCCGUGAGGUGUCGGCUUAAGUGCCAUAACGAGCGCAACCCUUAUCGACAGUUGCCAACAGGUUAAGCUGGGAACUCUGUCGAGACUGCCGGCGCAAGCUGAGAGGUAGGCGGGGAUGACGUCAAAUCAGCACGGCCCUUACGUCCGGGGCGACACACGUGUUACAAUGGCGGCCACAGCGGGAAGCCAGGCGGCGACGCCGAGCGGAACCCGAAAAGCCGUCUCAGUUCGGAUUGGAGUCUGCAACCCGACUCCAUGAAGCUGGAUUCGCUAGUAAUCGCGCAUCAGC
Molecule: ribosomal RNA, 365 nt
Filed under: uncultured bacterium
Lineage: Bacteria
Description: bacterial SSU rRNA
Rfam family: Bacterial small subunit ribosomal RNA
Source: RNAcentral